UACAGAGGUCCCAAGCGUUGUUCGGAUUCACUGGGCGUAAAGGGCGCGUAGGCGGUCAGCACAAGUCAGUUGUGAAAUCUCCGGGCUUAACCCGGAAAGGUCAACUGAUACUGUGCGACUAGAGUGCGGAAGGGGCAACUGGAAUUCUCGGUGUAGCGGUGAAAUGCGUAGAUAUCGAGAGGAACACCUGCGGCGAAGGCGGGUUGCUGGGCCGACACUGACGCUGAUGCGCGAAAGCCAGGGGAGCGAACGGG
Molecule: ribosomal RNA, 254 nt
Filed under: uncultured bacterium
Lineage: Bacteria
Description: partial 16S ribosomal RNA
Rfam family: Bacterial small subunit ribosomal RNA
Source: RNAcentral